AGCGAACGCUGGCGGCAGGCCUAACACAUGCAAGUCGAACGAACUCUUCGGAGUUAGUGGCGGACGGGUGAGUAACACGUGGGAACGUGCCUUUUGGUUCGGAAUAACUCAGGGAAACUUGUGCUAAUACCGAAUGUGCCCUUCGGGGGAAAGAUUUAUCGCCAUUAGAGCGGCCCGCGUCUGAUUAGCUAGUUGGUGAGGUAACGGCUCACCAAGGCGUCGAUCAGUAGCUGGUCUGAGAGGAUGACCAGCCACACUGGGACUGAGACACGGCCCAGACUCCUACGGGAGGCAGCAGUGGGGGAUCUUGCGAAAUGGGCGAAAGCAUGACGCAGCCAGGCCGCGUGAAUGAUGAAGGUCUUAGGAUUGUAAAAUUCUUUCACCGGGGACGAUAAUGACGGUACCCGGAGAAGAAGCCCCGGCUAACUUCGUG
RNAcentral lists this ribosomal RNA (433 nucleotides) under uncultured bacterium. RNAcentral describes it as "partial 16S ribosomal RNA". It matches the Rfam family "Bacterial small subunit ribosomal RNA", at positions 29 to 507 of the family's 1533-position model. The record is from RNAcentral.